This is a non-coding RNA of Pelobates cultripes (western spadefoot toad), 574 nucleotides long. Lineage: Eukaryota; Metazoa; Chordata; Amphibia; Anura; Pelobatidae. The record is from the annotation of a GenBank genome assembly.
CCUUGGACAAGGCACAAUUAAAUAUGAACAGGGUGUUUCACCCUAAGGUUUUUCCUGGGGCUGGCAGAGCAAGGGGCCGUCUGUGUGGCAGAGUUAAUAGGGGUUCAUGCCUGAACCGAGGCUCACACAUUUUUCCCAUGUCUGGGCCCUCAUUACAUCAGAUGCCUGGAUACUCAGGGCAGUCCACGGAUAUCUCAUAGACUUUGUGUCCCUACGCAUCCAGCAAUCCCCACCAGGGGAGAUUGUUUGUUUUUUCCCGGUCAGACACUAUCCUCGUCUCCGAGGAAAUCCAUGAAUUGGCACUCAAAGGGGUUAUUCUAGAAAUCCCGAUGCAUACCCCGGGUUUUGUGAGCAACCUGUUUAUUGUCCCCAAGAAAGGUGGCGGAACCCGCCCAGUCAUCAAUCUCAAGCACCUAAAUUCCUAUGUAAGCUACCACCAUUUCAAAAUGGAAGGCAUUCAUUGCCUACGAGAUUUGCUCCAACCAUCAGACUGGAUGGUGAAACUCGAUCUAAGAGAUGCUUAUCUCACAGUGCCCAUUGCGGAGGCCUAUCAGGAUUUCCUGCAAUUGACAUG